UAGGGAAUCUUCCACAAUGGACGAAAGUCUGAUGGAGCAACGCCGCGUGAGUGAAGAAGGGUUUUCGGCUCGUAAAGCUCUGUUGGUAGUGAAGAAAGAUAGAGGUAGUAACUGGCCCUUUAUUUGACGGUAAUUACUUAGAAAGUCACGGCUAACUACGUGCC
This 164-nucleotide ribosomal RNA is filed under the name uncultured bacterium. Its description in RNAcentral is "partial 16S ribosomal RNA". It matches the Rfam family "Bacterial small subunit ribosomal RNA", at positions 355 to 509 of the family's 1533-position model. The record is from RNAcentral.